AUGAACGCUGGCGGCGUGCUUCACCCAUGCAAGUCGAACGAAGCACUUUAUUUGAUUUCCUUCGGGACUGAUUAUUUUGUGACUGAGUGGCGGACGGGUGAGUAACGCGUGGGUAACCUGCCUUGUACAGGGGGAUAACAGUUGGAAACGGCUGCUAAUACCGCAUAAGCGCACAGCAUCGCAUGAUGCAGUGUGAAAAACUCCGGUGGUAUAAGAUGGACCCGCGUUGGAUUAGCUAGUUGGUGAGGUAACGGCCCACCAAGGCGACGAUCCAUAGCCGACCUGAGAGGGUGACCGGCCACAUUGGGACUGAGACACGGCCCAAACUCCUACGGGAGGCAGCAGUGGGGAAUAUUGCACAAUGGGCGAAAGCCUGAUGCAGCGACGCCGCGUGAGCGAAGAAGUAUUUCGGUAUGUAAAGCUCUAUCAGCAGGGAAGAUAAUGACGGUACCUGACUAAGAAGCACCGGCUAAAUACGUG
RNAcentral lists this ribosomal RNA (480 nucleotides) under uncultured bacterium. RNAcentral describes it as "partial 16S ribosomal RNA". It matches the Rfam family "Bacterial small subunit ribosomal RNA", at positions 29 to 507 of the family's 1533-position model. The record is from RNAcentral.